This 339-nucleotide ribosomal RNA is filed under the name Vestiferum alatum. RNAcentral's name for it is "partial large subunit ribosomal RNA". The record is from RNAcentral. Lineage: Eukaryota; Metazoa; Arthropoda; Arachnida; Opiliones; Nemastomatidae.
GUGCAAAGGUAGCAUAAUCAUUUGUUUUUUAAUUGAAAACUGGAAUGAAAGGUUUAAUAAAAAAAAUAUUUAUUGUAUCUAAAGUUUGAAAUUUAUGGAAGRAUAAAAAAGUUCUUAUAAAUCUAGGGGACGAUAAGACCCUAUUAAGCUUUAAAUAAAUUUAAGAGGUUAACAAAAAGUUUAGAAUAUUAUAUUUUACUGGGGUGGUAAAUGAAAUUUAUAUAAAAAAAAUUAGAUCCAUUAUUAAUGACAAAUAGAUUAAGUUACUAUAGGGAUAACAGCAUAAUUCUUUUUAAGAGUUCUUAUCAAUGAAAGAGAUUAUGACCUCGAUGUUGAAUU